AUUGAACGCUGGCGGAAUGCUUUACACAUGCAAGUCGAACGGCAGCACGGACUUCGGUCUGGUGGCGAGUGGCGAACGGGUGAGUAAUGUAUCGGAACGUGCCCAGUCGUGGGGGAUAACGUAGUGAAAAUUACGCUAAUACCGCAUACGAUCUAUGGAUGAAAGCGGGGGAUCGCAAGACCUCGCGCGAUUGGCGCGGCCGAUAUCAGAUUAGGUAGUUGGUGGGGUAAAGGCCCACCAAGCCAACGAUCUGUAGCUGGUCUGAGAGGACGACCAGCCACACUGGAACUGAGACACGGUCCAGACUCCUACGGGAGGCAGCAGUGGGGAAUUUUGGACAAUGGGCGAAAGCCUGAUCCAGCCAUUCCGCGUGCAGGAUGAAGGCCCUCGGGUUGUAAACUGCUUUUGUACAGAACGAAAAGGUUUCUACUAAUACUAGGAGCUCAUGACGGUACUGUAAGAAUAAGCACCGGCUGACUACGUGCCAGCAGCCGCCGCAG
Molecule: ribosomal RNA, 500 nt
Filed under: uncultured bacterium
Lineage: Bacteria
Description: partial 16S ribosomal RNA
Rfam family: Bacterial small subunit ribosomal RNA
Source: RNAcentral